Molecule: ribosomal RNA, 641 nt
Filed under: uncultured bacterium
Lineage: Bacteria
Description: bacterial SSU rRNA
Rfam family: Bacterial small subunit ribosomal RNA
Source: RNAcentral
AAGAAUAUCGGAGACGGAUGGGCAUGCGGCGCAUUAGCUGGUUGGCGGGGUAACGGCCCACCAAGGCGACGAUGCGUAGGGGUUCUGAGAGGAAGGUCCCCCACACUGGUACUGAGACACGGACCAGACUCCUACGGGAGGCAGCAGUGAGGAAUAUUGGUCAAUGGGCGAGAGCCUGAACCAGCCAAGUCGCGUGAGGGAGUACUGCCCUAUGGGUUGUAAACCUCUUUUGUCGGGGAGCAAAAGCCGGACGUGUCCGGCUGUGAGAGUACCCGAAGAAAAAGCAUCGGCUAACUCCGUGCCAGCAGCCGCGGUAAUACGGAGGAUGCGAGCGUUAUCCGGAUUUAUUGGGUUUAAAGGGUGCGCAGGCGGAUUUUUAAGUCAGCGGUCAAAUCGUGGGGCUCAACCCCAUCCAGCCGUUGAAACUGGGGAUCUAGAGUGUGCGAGAGGUAUGCGGAAUGCGUGGUGUAGCGGUGAAAUGCAUAGAUAUCACGCAGAACCCCGAUUGCGAAGGCAGCAUACCGGUGCACAACUGACGCUCAGGCACGAAAGCGUGGGUAUCGAACAGGAUUAGAUACCCUGGUAGUCCACGCAGUAAACGAUGAAUGCUACCUGUUUGGCCAGAUUGAUGGCUGAGCGGG